Molecule: ribosomal RNA, 840 nt
Filed under: Staphylococcus sp. AI-9
Lineage: Bacteria; Bacillati; Bacillota; Bacilli; Caryophanales; Staphylococcaceae
Description: bacterial SSU rRNA
Rfam family: Bacterial small subunit ribosomal RNA
Source: RNAcentral
UGAACGCUGGCGGCGUGCCUAAUACAUGCAAGUCGAGCGAACGGACGAGAAGCUUGCUUCUCUGAUGUUAGCGGCGGACGGGUGAGUAACACGUGGAUAACCUACCUAUAAGACUGGGAUAACUUCGGGAAACCGGAGCUAAUACCGGAUAAUAUUUUGAACCGCAUGGUUCAAAAGUGAAAGACGGUCUUGCUGUCACUUAUAGAUGGAUCCGCGCUGCAUUAGCUAGUUGGUAAGGUAACGGCUUACCAAGGCAACGAUGCAUAGCCGACCUGAGAGGGUGAUCGGCCACACUGGAACUGAGACACGGUCCAGACUCCUACGGGAGGCAGCAGUAGGGAAUCUUCCGCAAUGGGCGAAAGCCUGACGGAGCAACGCCGCGUGAGUGAUGAAGGUCUUCGGAUCGUAAAACUCUGUUAUUAGGGAAGAACAUAUGUGUAAGUAACUGUGCACAUCUUGACGGUACCUAAUCAGAAAGCCACGGCUAACUACGUGCCAGCAGCCGCGGUAAUACGUAGGUGGCAAGCGUUAUCCGGAAUUAUUGGGCGUAAAGCGCGCGUAGGCGGUUUUUUAAGUCUGAUGUGAAAGCCCACGGCUCAACCGUGGAGGGUCAUUGGAAACUGGAAAACUUGAGUGCAGAAGAGGAAAGUGGAAUUCCAUGUGUAGCGGUGAAAUGCGCAGAGAUAUGGAGGAACACCAGUGGCGAAGGCGACUUUCUGGUCUGUAACUGACGCUGAUGUGCGAAAGCCUGGGGAUCAAACAGGAUUAGGAUACCCUGGUAGUCCACCCCGUAAACGAUGAGUGCUAAGUGUUAGGGGGUUUCCGCCCCUUAGUGCUGCA